AAUAUUGGAUGAUGGGCGCUAGCCACUUCCAGCAAUGCGCCGAGUCUGAAGAAGGCCAAGGCGUUUAAAGCACUUUUAUCGGCAAAGAAAUGCCUAAGGCUAAUACCCUGACGUCUUUUCGGUACCCGUUGAAUAAGCACCGGCUAACUCCGUGCCAGCAGCCGCAGUAAUACGGAGGGUGCAAGCCUUAAUCGGAAUUAUUGGGCGUAAAGCGAGUGUAGGCGGGUUCGUAAGUCGGAUCUGAAAGCCCCGGGCUUAACUUGGGAAUUGCAUUCGAUAUUGUGCGACAGAGUUUGGUAGAGGAAAGUGGAAUUCCAGGUGUAGCGGUGAAAUGCGUAGAUAUCUAGAGGAACAUCAGUGGGGAAGGCGGCUUUCUGGAUCAAAGCUGACGCUGAGGCUCGAAAGCAUGGGGAGCAAACAGGCUUAGAUACCCUGGUAGUCCACGCCUUC
Molecule: ribosomal RNA, 450 nt
Filed under: uncultured marine bacterium
Lineage: Bacteria
Description: bacterial SSU rRNA
Rfam family: Bacterial small subunit ribosomal RNA
Source: RNAcentral